Panicum hallii is the source of this 815-nucleotide long non-coding RNA. RefSeq lists it as uncharacterized. The record is from RefSeq and is a predicted model, not a curated record. The transcript is spliced from 3 exons. Lineage: Eukaryota; Viridiplantae; Streptophyta; Magnoliopsida; Poales; Poaceae.
GCCCGUGUACAUAGCGUGUAUAAGCUACACAAUGAUUGGCCGUAUCCGUUUAAUCAGCCGUUUACCUCGUUUAAUAACCGUUUAACCCGUUUAAAUAGCCAUUUAGUUCGAAUAAAUAGCUAAAUAAUAGGUGAACAACUGUUUAGCGUUUACCAUUUAGGCUAACACUGAUCAACACCAAGCUAAACAAACUCACAUCCUCCGGUCCCACUCCUAGGGUAAGCACCCGUCCCACCCUCUCUCUCUCUCCCUCCCGUCUGCUCUGCUCUUAGAUCUGGCGGUGGGGCGAGCAAGGUACAAUGGCAGGGGUGUAGAUCCAAUCCACCACAUUCCGCUCUCCUUGCAGAUCCCGCCCGCUGUCCUCGGUGGGUUAUUUCUCUGAUGGGGUUAGGAGUGGCGCAGGCAUGGAUUAGGGCUGGCUGGUGCCAUCCCCCGACCACGUCCUGGCUCCCUGGUGGCAGCGGCAAGGCCAAUCCCUAGCCAGGUCGAGCACCUGCCUUGUGAUUUGGUGAUGGGCCGUGCCACCACCUUUCUGCUCCUCCACAAUGGCGCAGCACCGCCACGGCCGUGGCUGAGCACUGAUUAACGAGUAGCCACAGCGAAUCAUAAGUGGGACCAGAUCAGACAGAGGGAGGGCGAACAGUUGCAGCUGGACAUCAAACCAAAUUUGAGACAGACAGGGUCGAGGAUUGAAACUUAUCACAAUCAAGUAUUCAUUGCUUUGGUGGCUACUAUCAGCGUCAAGUGUUCACUGGUUUGGAACCAGAUGUAUAUAAUAUGUAGAUGUAGCAAUGCACUACAGGAAAACAGCAAAC